AACUAGAGGCUUACUAGGUACAUGUUGUGUGUGACGUCCUCGAUUCAAUCGUACACUAACCAUACACGCAAAUGUGUACGAUCAAGAUCAAGGACUCACGGGAAGAUAUCACAACACAACUCUAGACACAAAUUAAAAUAAUACAAGCUUUAUAUUACAAGCCAGGGGCCUCGAGGGCUCGAAUACAUAAGAUCGAAUACACAAGAGUCAGUGGAAGCAACAAUAUCUAAGUACAGACAUGAGCUAAACAAGUUUGCCUUAAGAAGGCUAGCACAAAAGCAACAACGAUCGAAAAGGCAAGGCCUCCUGCCUGGGAGCCUCCUAACUACUCCUAGUCGUCUGCGGUCUUCACGUAGUAGUAGGCAUCCUCCGGGUAGUAGUAGUCAUCAGUGGCGUUGUCUGGCUCCUGGGAUCCGUCAUCUGGUCGCAACAAUCGGGUAUGGGGGAAAAGAAGUAGUAAAGCAACCGUGAUUACUCAUCCAAAGUACUCGCAAGACUUACAUCAGAUCUAAACUAAGUAUGCAUCUGUAUCAAAGGAAUGGGUUGUAUCUGUGGACUAAACUGCAGAAUGACAGAAGGGAAGGGAAAACCCUAGCCUAUCGAAGACUAGCAUCUUCUAGAACCCACCAUCUUGCAGCAACAGGAGGGAGUAGAGUAGUAUAAAGUAAAGUAGUAGAAGUGUUAUCAACCUUGGCCAGAGAUCCUUUCUCGACUCCCUGCGAGAAAGCAAUCCCAGAGCCAUACUAUCCAAUUCUCAUCACCAUCCAGUUCUCAUCACAAGUAUCCAGUUCUAGUUGUAUCGAUCGGGAUACAACUCCAAGUGUCUGUUACCGUAGGACAGGCUAUGAAUAGAUGUUUUCUUCCCUACAGAGGUGCACCAACUUACCCACCAUGCUCGAUUAACUCCGGCCGGACACACUUUCCUGAUUCAUGCCCGGCCUCGGCCAAACAAUACGCCGCAACCCGACCUAGGCUUAAUAGAGAGGCCAGCACGCCGGACUAAACCUAUGCCCCUAGGGGUCAUGGGCCAUCUCCCCAGGAACUCCUGCACGUUGCGUGGGCGGACGGUGAGCAGACCUAGCUACCUCCUUCAACAAGGCAGGAGCUUACGCAGUCCAACCCGGCGCGUGCCGCUCAGUCGCUGACGUCUAUUAAGCUUCGGCUGAUGUAUACGACGCAGAACGCCCAUACUAUGCCCACGUGAUGGUUAGUGCUAUCAGGCCAGAGGCCCCUCGGAUCAAAUAUCCAAAUCGUAGUGGAUUAGGAACGCGCGAUAACGAGCAGAGACUCACGAUCGAUGUGACCCCAUCGCCCCGUCUCGAGUACUUGCGGCUAGGGCUAAGAAUGCCCGGCCACGCCUCGUAAGUAUCUCGCGGGCACCUUCCAGGUCAACCCGACUCCACAUCACUCGCUAUUAAGCUCGCGCGGGUACCCCUCAGGGUCAACCCGUCUUAAUAACAUGGCUCAGUGUAAAGUCAUAGUAACCAUAAUAACUGUAUGUCUAACACCAAGGGGAAAACCCGAGGAAUCACCCCCGGUGAAUUCCGCUCGAUGUUAUCAUCAAGGUGAACGUAAGAGGAUCCACCCUCGAGGUUCACAUUUGAUGAGUUGCACGACAGAGCUGUAACGGAAGUGGUUAAGAAGGAAAUCACCCUUGAUGACAUCGACCGUAUAGCUACACUACAGAGAUCUCAUCAGGAGUGAUGUAAGAGGUUCCACCCUCGGCACUCGAUAGUAACUCUGCAGAGUCAUACAACUAGGGGGUGAUGUGCGGUGUCGGGGCCUGGACGUCGAUCACGUUGAUCGAGUCAUCGAACAUAAAGCAAGGCAACUAGGACAAGGUGGGGUCACUGAUGGAUCACUAACCAACCUAUACUAAGCAGUUUAGGACAAGCAGGUAAGGUAUGAAAGCAGGUAACAACAACAGUCUAUGCAUCAGAGUAGGAUCAUACAGAAAGCAGUAGCAGUUCUAAUGCAAGCAUGAGAGGGAAAGAAAUGGGCGAUAUCGGAAUGCCCAAGGGGGGUUUGCUUGCCUGGUUGCUCAGACAAGAAGGAGAGGUCGUCGGUGACGUAGUCGAUCACAGGGGCAUCAACAGCGGUCUCGAGGUCUACCGGAGAAGAAAAGGGGAAAGAAACAAUAAAUACACACAAGCAUAAGCAUAACAAGACAAUAAGCGGUGCUAAAGGUGUUCUAACGCAGCGCUAGGCGAUACUGGCGAAGGAGGAUAAUAUCCGGGAAAGUUUUCCCGGUUCCGAACGUCCGUCAGACAGAUGAACCAAAGGGAAAAAGUUCAACGUUUGCUAUGCUAGAGACGUGUGGUAGACGAACGGAGGGCGUAUUCGGAUUCGUCUCGUCGUUCUGAGCAACUUUCAUAUAUAAAGUUUUUCCAACCGAACUUUCUGUGAUCUACAUGACAGUGUCAUUGACAUCCAUGUUAGAGUUCAGUUGCUUGAUCGAAACUGCAUUUGAAAAGUGUCGCUUGAAGUUAAUUACAGAAACUGUUAAAAUAUACGAACAUAAGAUUUUGUGAUUUUCAUAGGAUUUAAUCCUUACAUCUUUUAAAUUUGGUCCAAUGGGAUGUUUUGAACCUUGUCAAGUGUACUCUCUACCUGUAUUAUUUUUACUCAUAUUAACCAUCGUUUAGUCGCUGUUUAGGGACUGCUCAGAGGGUUAGUCAACGUAGGAAUAGCAAAGCUAGCUACUGCUACAGUAACAUUCAGUUACUGUAGCAGAGCAGCAGAGGAGCAACGGCAAAGGGUGGGCGUGGCCACACUCUACACACACACAGCACGCAUGCACGUGGGCACGCCGGCGGCCACGGUGCUGGCCAGGGGCGCAGCGCGCGAGUGGUAGCGGCAGCGGGUGAGCGGGCGUGGUCCGGGCGGCAGCCGGGGCGGGGCCGACGCAGUCGGCAGGCGCGGGGACAGUGGCAGGCGGCAGCAGCCGUGGUCGCACGUAGCAGCAGCACAAAGAGAAGGCGGCGGCGGCGGCAGGCGCAAACGGCAGCGGUAGCAGGGGCAACAUGAGGCAGUGGACGAGCGCACAAGCGGGCAGAGGCGGGCACGGCCGCACGGGGCUGGGCAAGGGCGCGACGGGGGAGUGCCCUGGGACGGCCAGCACGCGGCGGGAGCGCGGCAGGAGCAGGCAUCGCCGGCCAUGGUGGACGGCGGCGGUGGCUGGGUGUUAGUUCGAUUCGAGCGGGCGAGCAUGGAUUCGGCUAUGCAUUCGUCACGCACGCCUCCUGGGAGCACUAGAUGCACGGCAACGACAUUGGUUCACUUCGGGACGGACCCCAUCAACGACAACGUGCUCGGCAGUGGUGCCAUGGCCACGGUGGUGCACAGGCCCAUGGGGACGGCGACGGAAACGAGCAAACGAAUGAAGGGGGAAUAAAGGGGAGCUCACAUCGGAGUACAUGGAUGGCUCGGAGGCGUCGGGGUGGUCAGGGUGGUGCGGAUCCGGCGAUGGCAUCGGCGGGGCAGUGAAAGGGGGACGGCUCGAUCCGCACGGCG
This 3513-nucleotide long non-coding RNA is filed under the name Triticum aestivum (bread wheat). RNAcentral's name for it is "long non-coding RNA (TAES_LNC019351)". The record is from RNAcentral. Lineage: Eukaryota; Viridiplantae; Streptophyta; Magnoliopsida; Poales; Poaceae.